This 253-nucleotide ribosomal RNA is filed under the name uncultured bacterium. RNAcentral describes it as "partial 16S ribosomal RNA". It matches the Rfam family "Bacterial small subunit ribosomal RNA", at positions 524 to 776 of the family's 1533-position model. The record is from RNAcentral.
UACGUAGGGUGCAAGCGUUAAUCGGAAUUACUGGGCGUAAAGCGUGCGCAGGCGGUCGUGCAAGACAGAUGUGAAAUCCCCGGGCUUAACCUGGGAACUGCAUUUGUGACUGCACGGCUGGAGUGCGGCAGAGGGGGAUGGAAUUCCGCGUGUAGCAGUGAAAUGCGUAGAUAUCAGGAGGAACACCGAUGGCGAAGGCAGGUCUCUGGGCUGACACUGACGCUCAUGCACGAAAGCGUGGGGAGCAAACAGG